GUGAGUCAUCGAAUCUUUGAACGCACAUUGCACCCUUUGGUAUUCCGAAGGGUAUGCCUGUUUGAGUGUCAUUAAAUUCUCAAACUGAUGAUGGUUUUAUUUACUGUCUUCAGUUUGGAUCUGAGGGCUUUGUCGGACUCUAACGAGGUCGACUCCCUUUAAAAGCAUUAGCGGAUUUGACCAUCGCGGAUACGCCUCGAUUUGAUAAUAUCUAUGUCGUCGCGCUGAAGCGGUAAUCUGCUCCUAAUCGUCUUCGGACAAUUUACUUUGACAAUUUGACCUCAAAUCAGGUAGGACUAC
RNAcentral lists this unclassified non-coding RNA (300 nucleotides) under uncultured Mycena. RNAcentral's name for it is "sequence contains 5.8S rRNA gene, ITS2". The stretch from base 1 to 71 matches the Rfam family "5.8S ribosomal RNA", at positions 84 to 154 of the family's 154-position model. Lineage: Eukaryota; Fungi; Basidiomycota; Agaricomycetes; Agaricales; Tricholomataceae. The record is from RNAcentral.